RNAcentral lists this ribosomal RNA (508 nucleotides) under uncultured fungus. RNAcentral's name for it is "SSU rRNA". It matches the Rfam family "Eukaryotic small subunit ribosomal RNA", at positions 569 to 1078 of the family's 1831-position model. The record is from RNAcentral. Lineage: Eukaryota; Fungi.
AGCAGCCGCGGUAAUUCCAGCUCCAAUAGCGUAUAUUAAAGUUGUUGCAGUUAAAAAGCUCGUAGUUGAAUUUCGGGAUCAAUUUAUCGGUCGUGCCUAUGGUAUGAACUGGUACAAUUGGUUUCUCCCUUCUGACGAAGCAUGAUGUCAUUAAUUUGGUGUCGUGGGGAAUCAGGACUGUUACUUUGAAAAAAUUAGAGUGUUUAAAGCAAGCAUUAGCUUGAAUACAUUAGCAUGGAAUAAUGAAAUAGGACGUUUGAUCCUAUUUCGUUGGUUUCUAGGAUCGACGUAAUGAUUAAUAGGGAUAGUUGGGGGCAUUAGUAUUCAAUUGUCAGAGGUGAAAUUCUUGGAUUUAUUGAAGACUAACUACUGCGAAAGCAUUUGCCAAGGAUGUUUUCAUUAAUCAAGAACGAAAGUUAGGGGAUCGAAGACGAUCAGAUACCGUCGUAGUCUUAACCAUAAACUAUGCCGACUAGGGAUCGGAUGAUGUUAAUUUUUUAAUGACUCA